This 126-nucleotide small RNA is filed under the name Marmota monax (woodchuck). Lineage: Eukaryota; Metazoa; Chordata; Mammalia; Rodentia; Sciuridae. The record is from RNAcentral.
AUCGCUUCUUGGCCUUUUGGCUAAGAUCAAGUGUAGAAAAGUAAAAUUGUACAUAAGAAACAUUGAUGAAUCGUUGUAUCAGACGAAAGUUGAUUUAGCUCAUAUUAGAAAAAGGAUAUAUUCACU